This 359-nucleotide ribosomal RNA is filed under the name Paranaxia keesingi. RNAcentral describes it as "partial 12S ribosomal RNA". The record is from RNAcentral. Lineage: Eukaryota; Metazoa; Arthropoda; Malacostraca; Decapoda; Mithracidae.
UAUUAUACUAAAUUUUUUUUAGAGCUUAAAUAUUAUAAGAUAUAAUCUUUAAAUUUAAAGAAGGCGGUAAUUUAGUCUAUCCAGAGGAACCUGUUUUUUAAUCGAUAAACCACGAAUAAUCUUACUUACUCUAAUAAGUUUUUAAAGUUUGUAUACCGUCAUAAUCAGAUAAUGUUUAAAGAAAAUUAUUAAAUAUUAAAUAAUAAGUGAAAUUAGAUCAAGGUGCAGCUAAUGGGUAAGUUAAAAUGGGUUACAAUUAAGUUUAUAUAAUUAUGGAAUAAAAAUUGAAAUAUUUUUUAGAAGGGGGAUUUGGUUGUAAUAAGAAUUAAUAAGAUAAAAAGACAUGAGCUCUAAAUUAU